This is a small nuclear RNA of Erinaceus europaeus (western European hedgehog), 103 nucleotides long. The record is from Ensembl. Lineage: Eukaryota; Metazoa; Chordata; Mammalia; Eulipotyphla; Erinaceidae.
UUGUUCUGGCUGCACAUAUACUACAGUUGGAAUGAUACUGAAAAGAUUAACAUGACCCCCCUGCAAAGAUGACUUGCACAUCUAUGAAGCAUUCCAUAAAAAA